RNAcentral lists this ribosomal RNA (366 nucleotides) under Triticum aestivum (bread wheat). RNAcentral describes it as "partial small subunit ribosomal RNA". The record is from RNAcentral. Lineage: Eukaryota; Viridiplantae; Streptophyta; Magnoliopsida; Poales; Poaceae.
AUGAUCCAGUGGAAGUCUGGAACGCACUCAUGGGUUGAGCAGCCAUUUGCUUCUGGUGGUGCUCGCAUCCUUCAGAUCGUGUUCUUCAAAGGUCAGAUGUUUGCCAUCGACUUUCUUCAGAGGAUCCACAUUAUGCAAAUUUUGCCUCAGCUUGCCAUGCAUGAAGUAGCAGCUGUGAGGGUAGGGGACAUGGUUAUUGGCCUCCAUUUCAAGCCAUGGUUGGUGGUAUGUGGCAAGAGGCUUCUCCUGGUUGACCUAUCGGUAGUCUCUGACGAACUAUAUGGCAUCCAUGCUAAGUUUCGAGUCUUUCACCUUGACUUGUCAACGGAACCAGACAAGUGUAUGGAGACAAUAAUGCAGGUGUAG